RNAcentral lists this ribosomal RNA (580 nucleotides) under uncultured archaeon. Its description in RNAcentral is "bacterial SSU rRNA". It matches the Rfam family "Archaeal small subunit ribosomal RNA", at positions 691 to 1262 of the family's 1478-position model. The record is from RNAcentral.
CCGACGGUGAGAGGCGAAAUGCUGGGGGCGCAAACCGGAUUAGAUACCCGGGUAGUCCCAGCAGUAAACGAUGCCAGCUAUGUGUUGCUGGAACCAUGGGUUCCAGCAGUGCCGAAUGGAAGCCGUGAAGCUGGCCACCUGGGAAGUACGGUCGCAAGGCUGAAACUUAAAGGAAUUGGCGGGGGAGUACCACAACCGGUGGAGCCUGCGGUUUAAUUGGAUACAACGCCGGGAAUCUUACCGGAGGGGACAGCAGUAUGAAGGCCAGGCUAAAGACCUUGCCAGAUCAGCUGAGAGGAGGUGCAUGGCCGUCGCCAGUUCGUACCGUGAGGCAUCCUGUUUAGUCAGGCAACGAUCGAGACCCGCAGUCUUAUUUGCCAGCAUGCCCCUUUGGGCGUGUAUGGGUACAAUAAGACGGAGCCGGAGCGCUAAGCUGGAGGAAGGAGCGGGCUUGCUGUAGGUCAGCAUGCCCCGAAUCCUCCGGGAUACACGCGGGCUACAAUGGUCAUGGACAGGAAGGUACCGACCUCGAAAGAGUGAGGUAAUCCACAAAGCCUGAUCUCAGUCCGGAUCGAAGGCU